This 497-nucleotide ribosomal RNA is filed under the name Pseudidiomarina sediminum. RNAcentral describes it as "bacterial SSU rRNA". It matches the Rfam family "Bacterial small subunit ribosomal RNA", at positions 40 to 524 of the family's 1533-position model. Lineage: Bacteria; Pseudomonadati; Pseudomonadota; Gammaproteobacteria; Alteromonadales; Idiomarinaceae. The record is from RNAcentral.
GGGCAUGCGCAGCUACACAUGCAGUCGAGCGGUAACAGGAAGAAGCUUGCUUCUUUGCUGACGAGCGGCGGACGGGUGAGUAAUACUUGGGAACUUGCCUUUAGGAGGGGGAUAACCGCUGGAAACGGUGGCUAAUACCGCAUAAUGUCUACGGACCAAAGCAGGGGCUCUUCGGACCUUGCACCUAAAGAUAGGCCCAAGCGAGAUUAGCUAGUUGGUGGGGUAAAGGCCCACCAAGGCGACGAUCUCUAGCUGUUCUGAGAGGAUGAUCAGCCACACUGGGACUGAGACACGGCCCAGACUCCUACGGGAGGCAGCAGUGGGGAAUAUUGCACAAUGGGGGAAACCCUGAUGCAGCCAUGCCGCGUGUGUGAAGAAGGCCUUCGGGUUGUAAAGCACUUUCAGUGGUGAGGAAGGCCGUAAGAUUAAUACUCUUGCGGAUUGACGUUAACCACAGAAGAAGCACCGGCUAACUCCGUGCCAGCAGCCGCGGUAAU